GGAAGGAUCAUUAUCAUAAAAAUUAUUAUCACAACACAAACCACACUUUGGAUCUCUUUUUCCCUUUCGAGGGUUUAGCUUUUCAAUGUGUUGGUUUGCACACCAAUGUGAACUUUAUAAAGUCCAUAACCAAUUUUUAAACUCCAUGUAAACCUGAUUGUAGUGUUUGAAUCCUCUUCUUGUUAGGGGUGGGUGGGUUAACCCCCUAACUAACAUCAAGGGAAACAAAUAAAAAAUAACCAAAAUACAAUCUUUAACGAUGGAUAUCUCGGCUCGUGUAACGAUGAAGAGCGCAGCAAAGUGCGAUAACUAGUGUGAAUUGCAGAAUUCUGUGAAUCAUCGAACUCUUGAACGCAUCCUGCGCCUGAGGGCUAUCCUUCAGGCACACCUGUUUGAGUGUCGACUCAUUCUCCAUUCUCCCCUCUAUCACUUGUGAUCUAGGGGAGAGAUAUGAUAGUGAAGGGUGAACAUACAUCCUUCUCUGUUUAAAAGUAUGAGCUGAUCACCUUCUUUCAUAGACAGUGAUUACUAUUCUAGGUUCGGGGGUCUUUUUUUGACUCAAGUCCUAGGAUAACUUUCUAAUUGAAAGGGGUUUGAUUUCAGAUACAAAAGGAAUAAAAAAUUAAGGGGGUACUUAAAACACACCUCCUUAACAACCAAAUUCGACCUCAAAUCAGGUGGGAUUACCCCCUGAAUUUAAGCAUAUAAAUAAGGGGAGGAAAAGAAAGUAACCACGAUUCCCUCAGUAAAGGCGAUUGAACAGGGAAGAGCUCAAUCCGAAUCCAGCUGGUUUCCAGCUUGAAUUGUAGUUUUGUGAGCACUUAUAUGGGAAUGUCUUGGUUUAAGUUACCUGGAAUGGUACGCCAUAGAGGGUGACAGCCCCGUUUACAACCGAGAAUCAUUUUCCCUAUCCGUAAGUGUUUCAUAGAGUCGGACUAUUUGAUAGUAUAGUCCUAAGCGUGAGGUAAGUUCCUCAUAAAGCUAAAUACAGACGCGAGACCGAUAGCGAACAAGUACCGUGAGGGAAAGAUGCAAAGAACUUUGAAAAGAGAGUUAAAAGUACUUGAAAUCGUUAGAGAGGAAGCGGUUGGAACCAGUGAUUGUUUCGUGAUCGAUUCAUGGCUUAAAGGGUGAUCCACAGUGUUUCAAGAGUCUCCCUUUGGAGGCCUUGUUGUAUUGAAGAUCAUUCUGGAGGUUGUUACUUCGGUUGCGACGGAUCAGUAUCUGUGGGUUUCGGAAUGGAAUGGGUUGAAGGAGGUAACCUGGGGUUCUCUCUCUGGGUGUUUAACUUUGAUCAGAUAUUCUGAAAAUCCUACAGAGGUCACAAAGUGGAGCUUUGCGGGGAAAGUGGUUUCCUAAUGGAUAAUAGUAUGGGAGACUGUCUAACAGUGUCUUGUAUUAUUUUGUUUGUUAUCGAUUCUACUCCACAUUUCCACUUCAUGAUACUGGUGAAAUGGUUCCUACCGACCCGUCUUGAAACACGGACCAAGGAGUCUAACAUAUGUGCGAGUCACUGAGUGGUAAACUUGGGGGCGUAAUGAAAGUGAAUUAAGGUGCCAUUCUUGGGUCUCGUUACCUGAGAUGCAGCAUCGACCGAUCCAAUUUCCCUCUGUGGAAAUAGAUUUGAGUAGGAGCAUAUCUGUUGGGACCCGAAAGAUGGUGAACUAUGCCUGCAUAGGGUGAGGCCAGAAGAAAUUCUGGUGGAGGCUCGUAGCGAUACUGACGUGCAAAUCGUUCGUCAAAUGUGGGUAUAGCGGCGAAAGACUAAUCGAACCGUCUAGUAGCUGGUUUCCUC
This 1795-nucleotide unclassified non-coding RNA is filed under the name uncultured fungus. Its description in RNAcentral is "sequence contains 18S rRNA gene, ITS1, 5.8S rRNA gene, ITS2, 28S rRNA gene". The stretch from base 664 to 1795 matches the Rfam family "Eukaryotic large subunit ribosomal RNA", at positions 1 to 961 of the family's 3401-position model. The record is from RNAcentral. Lineage: Eukaryota; Fungi.